RNAcentral lists this ribosomal RNA (459 nucleotides) under uncultured bacterium. RNAcentral describes it as "bacterial SSU rRNA". It matches the Rfam family "Bacterial small subunit ribosomal RNA", at positions 330 to 793 of the family's 1533-position model. The record is from RNAcentral.
ACCAGACUCCUACGGGAGGCAGCAGUGGGGGAUAUUGCACAAUGGGGGAAACCCUGAUGCAGCGACGCCGCGUGGGUGAAGGAGCACUUCGGUGCGUAAAGCCCUAUCGGCAGGGAAGAAAAGGGGGAAACCCCAGACGGUACCUGACUAAGAAGCCCCGGCUAACUACGUGCCAGCAGCCGCGGUAAUACGUAGGGGGCGAGCGUUAUCCGGAUUCACUGGGCGUAAAGGGAGCGCAGGCGGCACGGCAAGUCCGGUGUGAAAGCCCGGGGCCCAACCCCGGGACUGCACUGGAAACUGCCGGGCUGGAGUGUCGGAGGGGCAGGCGGAAUUCCUAGUGUAGCGGUGAAAUGCGUAGAUAUUAGGAGGAACACCGGUGGCGAAGGCGGCCUGCUGGACGACGACUGACGCUGAGGCUCGAAAGCGUGGGGAGCAAACAGGAUUAGAUACCCCUGUAAG